AUUUAUAAAGUUUUUAAAACACUUCAUUUUCAUUGAGGAGAGGAGCAAAACGCUUUAUAAAUA
RNAcentral lists this transfer RNA (63 nucleotides) under Tettigades auropilosa. RNAcentral's name for it is "tRNA-Glu". Lineage: Eukaryota; Metazoa; Arthropoda; Insecta; Hemiptera; Cicadidae. The record is from RNAcentral.